AUUGAACGCUGGCGGCAUGCCUUACACAUGCAAGUCGAACGGUAACAGGUCUUCGGAUGCUGACGAGUGGCGAACGGGUGAGUAAUACAUCGGAACGUGCCUAGUAGUGGGGGAUAACUACUCGAAAGAGUGGCUAAUACCGCAUGAGAUCUACGGAUGAAAGCAGGGGAUCGCAAGACCUUGUGCUACUAGAGCGGCCGAUGGCAGAUUAGGUAGUUGGUGGGUUAAAAGCUUACCAAGCCGACGAUCUGUAGCUGGUCUGAGAGGACGAUCAGCCACACUGGGACUGAGACACGGCCCAGACUCCGACGGGGGGCAGCAGUGGGGUAUUUUUGAAAAUGAGCGAAAGCCUGAUACAGCCAUGACACGUCCAGGAUGAAAGCCUACGGGUUGUAAACUGCUUUUGUACAGAACAAAAAGCCCCGGGUUUACACCCUGGGGUCAUGACGGGACCGUAAGAAUAAGAACCGGCUAACUACGUGCCAGCCGCCGCCGUAA
RNAcentral lists this ribosomal RNA (498 nucleotides) under uncultured bacterium. RNAcentral describes it as "partial 16S ribosomal RNA". It matches the Rfam family "Bacterial small subunit ribosomal RNA", at positions 30 to 523 of the family's 1533-position model. The record is from RNAcentral.